Echinops telfairi (small Madagascar hedgehog) is the source of this 566-nucleotide long non-coding RNA. RefSeq lists it as uncharacterized. Lineage: Eukaryota; Metazoa; Chordata; Mammalia; Afrosoricida; Tenrecidae. The record is from RefSeq and is a predicted model, not a curated record. The transcript has 5 exons.
UUCUCCCACCCGCUGGACCCGCCCGGGAGCGCGGCCCGGCUUGAGUCGCCGGGGCUCUGGUCUCCGCGAGCUACGGUUGCCGGGCUCCGUUCACAGCAAAGCUGAGGGUUUGGGUCAAAGCAUGGAAUACAGACAAAACCCCAAGACGCAGCCUGUGCUUUAAGCUCAUCCAAACAUCUACAGUCCCUGGAUGAUGCCAGCAGAUUUCUCCCAACAGAAAGGUUGAUGGUUUGAAUCCACCCUGCACUGCCCUGCCGACGAAAGGUCAGGAGCUCUGCUGCCAUGGAGAAAUCAUUAUUCAAGAAUUGUUUUUGAUUGCUGGACAUUCCAUUGGCGAAGUUGAAAGUCUAUCGCUCAGAGGAAAUAAGUCGACAAGGAGGAGAACCCGAGCGUCGUGCUUCCAAACUGCUGUGGAUGACCCUGGCCCUCGGAACCACCCUGUCAAGUAAGAUGUCACUGAGGUCCCUCAAAUGGAGCCUUCUGCUGCUGUCACUCCUGAGUUUCCUCGUGAUGUGGUACCUCAGCCUCCCCCACUACAAUGUGAUCGAACGUGUAAACUUCAUGUA